This 89-nucleotide non-coding RNA is filed under the name Pseudomonas brassicacearum. The record is from RNAcentral. Lineage: Bacteria; Pseudomonadati; Pseudomonadota; Gammaproteobacteria; Pseudomonadales; Pseudomonadaceae. RNAcentral also lists the same sequence under 1 other name.
UGUGGGAGCGAGCUUGCUCGCGAAGGCGUAGUGUCAGUCACUUCAAUAUUGGCUGAACUGACGCCAUCGCGAGCAAGCUCGCUCCCACA